UUUUCGGUGGCUCAGUCAGUAGAACAUUGCAUUAGCAACUCAAAAGUUGUGGGUUCAAACCCCAGGGAAAG
Non-coding RNA from Danionella cerebrum, 71 nucleotides. The record is from the annotation of a GenBank genome assembly. Lineage: Eukaryota; Metazoa; Chordata; Actinopteri; Cypriniformes; Danionidae.